GCAAACUUGGUCAUUUAGAGGAAGUAAAAGUCGUAACAAGGUUUCCGUAGGUGAACCUGCGGAAGGAUCAUUAUUGAGUUAGGGACCAUUUGGUCCCAAUCUCUCACCCAGUGUCUACUUUACUACGUUGCUUCGGCAGGCCCGUUGACUCUGGUCAACCGCUGGAGGGUCCUUGGACUCUUUGGCCUGUGCCCGUCGAUGGUCCCUAAUUAAAUUCUUGAUAAAAUGUGUCGUCUGAGUCUGAAACAAAAUUGAAUUAAAACUUUCAACAACGGAUCUCUUGGUUCUGGCAUCGAUGAAGAACGCAGC
Molecule: unclassified non-coding RNA, 309 nt
Filed under: uncultured fungus
Lineage: Eukaryota; Fungi
Description: partial contains small subunit ribosomal RNA, internal transcribed spacer 1, and 5.8S ribosomal RNA
Rfam family: Eukaryotic small subunit ribosomal RNA (bases 1-73)
Source: RNAcentral